GAUGAACGCUGGCGGCGUGCCUAAUACAUGCAAGUCGAGCGAACGGACGAGAAGCUUGGUUCUCUGAUGUUAGCGGCGGACGGGUGAGUAACACGUGGAUAACCUACCUAUAAGACUGGGAUAACUUCGGGAAACCGGAGCUAAUACCGGAUAAUAUUUUGAACCGCAUGGUUCAAAAGUGAAAGACGGUCUUGCUGUCACUUAUAGAUGGAUCCGCGCUGCAUUAGCUAGUUGGUAAGGUAACGGCUUACCAAGGCAACGAUGCAUAGCCGACCUGAGAGGGUGAUCGGCCACACUGGAACUGAGACACGGUCCAGACUCCUACGGGAGGCAGCAGUAGGGAAUCUUCCGCAAUGGGCGAAAGCCUGACGGAGCAACGCCGCGUGAGUGAUGAAGGUCUUCGGAUCGUAAAACUCUGUUAUUAGGGAAGAACAUAUGUGUAAGUAACUGUGCACAUCUUGACGGUACCUAAUCAGAAAGCCACGGCUAACUACGUG
Molecule: ribosomal RNA, 497 nt
Filed under: uncultured bacterium
Lineage: Bacteria
Description: partial 16S ribosomal RNA
Rfam family: Bacterial small subunit ribosomal RNA
Source: RNAcentral